ACCCUCUCCCCCCCCUCUCUCCCUCACAUGCUGCUGCCCUCUACCCUCUCUCUCCCACGCUUGGUGCUGUCCUCUCCUACGUCUGAGUCACAGACGCCCUUGCCCGCGGCCUAUAGCUGGCCACAAGGGUAUAUAGCAGCGCCCGCAGCCCGUCUCCAACAUUACGACUACGACCAGGGAGGCAGUCCAGGCUCACAGUCAAUUAUUUGCGAUGCGCAGCUUUACAAGUGUGAUGUUAGUGAUGUUACUGACGGCGUCGCUGAUGUUGAUAUGGAGCAAUGUCGGCCACACCCAGUCCUUAGGGCAUCGCACUGGGAAGUAUCGCGGUCCUGAUCAUCGCCGCGACAGACAUCGCGAAAUCAGAGCCAUUCAGAACGACUCUAACAAAGGAGACAGUCGGCUAAUACCUCUAAUUUUCAUCGCUAUAGAAAAGCGCUGAUUCUGAAGCUAGUGACUGAGGCUGCCUAGCAGUCUGCACAUGAGACGAGGCUUCAACUUGUCUAACGUGAUCAUCUUGUUCCACGGCGAUUUAUUGUAUUAUAUUCAUUGUAUUAUUCAUUGUAUUAUUCAUUGUUAUUAUUUUAGUUUUGUGUAAAGUUAGACCUAGGGAAGGUUAGGCUAGGUGUUUUGAUUUCCCUGGCCAUUAUUUGUACUCACAGCAGGUGGGUAAAGCCUUUAGAGAGCUGUUAUUUUUCGAAAUGUAUAGAGUAAGUAAAAGUGUGUUUGAGAAAAGUUUGAAUAAGCUGUAAGACGUGAGUAUAAAACUUUAUAUUCAUAGUCAGAGGGCGGCUGACUAUGAUUGAAUCCGCCGGAUUCAAUAAUCCGGCGGAUUCAAUAAUCCGGCAUGUGCUGGAUUAUUGAGAAGUUGGCCAAUGUUGUUGGCCAAUCUUCAUUUGGUUGAUGAUGGGUUGAAUCUGGUUGUUAAUGUGCAGAAUUCACCCACUUAGGAGGGUAGAAAUAGCCUAAGCUACUCUAUCCCUUUGAGAUGUAUUUUUUUCUUGUCUCAAUAAACAUACUGGAACUUCAUCCACUAAGAAGAGAGACUUCACCCGUACAUGGAGCCGCUGAAGGCUUACUCUCAAAUCUGUGUCCUGAAGACCCUUGUUACCCAAUAUAGUCUUAAUAUAAGCUUGGUGUCAAAUUUUAAUGUGUAUAUAUGUAUACAACUUUUUUCAUAUAAAUAUAUAUUUUAGUACAAAAGUGAAA
Procambarus clarkii (red swamp crayfish) is the source of this 1206-nucleotide long non-coding RNA. RefSeq lists it as uncharacterized. NCBI's taxonomy places the organism in Eukaryota, Metazoa, Arthropoda, Malacostraca, Decapoda, Cambaridae. The record is from RefSeq and is a predicted model, not a curated record.